This 209-nucleotide long non-coding RNA is filed under the name Manihot esculenta (cassava). RNAcentral describes it as "long non-coding RNA (MESC_LNC003165)". Lineage: Eukaryota; Viridiplantae; Streptophyta; Magnoliopsida; Malpighiales; Euphorbiaceae. The record is from RNAcentral.
GUAGAGGCUUCCUAUGUGGCUUUUUAUAGUUGAAAAGUGUUGCCCUAGGUCAUACUUACUGCCCAAGAGGUAUUUUCUGCCCAAGAUGUGUCUAAAAAGGAAAGAAUCGCGCUUUUCGGCUUCAGAAGGAAGGCUGCGCGAAAAUGCACUGCGGAAGGAAGUUGGUGCGCGCGGUUUGGUCUCAGAAAGGGAAGGAGGCGCAGAUUAUG